ACUCCUACGGGAGGCAGCAGUCGAGAAUCUUCCGCAAUGGGCGAAAGCCUGACGGAGCGACACCGCGUGCAGGAUGAAGGCCUUCGGGUUGUAAACUGCUGUCACGCUUUAGGAACGAACGGGUGUCAAUAGCACUCGGACUGACCAAGGCGAAAGGAAGCACCGGCUAACUCUGUGCCAGCAGCCGCGGUAAGACAGAGGGUGCAAACGUUGUUCGGAAUUACUGGGCAUAAAGAGCACGUAGGUGGUUCGCUAAGUCACGUGUGAAAUCCCCCGGCUCAACCGGGGAAUUGCGCGUGAUACUGACGAACUCGAGGCGGGUAGGGGUGAGCGGAACUCCAA
RNAcentral lists this ribosomal RNA (342 nucleotides) under uncultured Planctomycetota bacterium. RNAcentral describes it as "bacterial SSU rRNA". It matches the Rfam family "Bacterial small subunit ribosomal RNA", at positions 335 to 672 of the family's 1533-position model. Lineage: Bacteria; Pseudomonadati; Planctomycetota. The record is from RNAcentral.